Octodon degus (degu) is the source of this 104-nucleotide small nuclear RNA. The record is from Ensembl. NCBI's taxonomy places the organism in Eukaryota, Metazoa, Chordata, Mammalia, Rodentia, Octodontidae.
GUGCUCACUUCAGCAGCAUAUAUACUAAAAUUGGAAUGAUUCAGAGAUUAGCAUGGCCCCUGUGCAAGGAUGACAUGCAAAUUCAUGCAGUGUUCCACAUUUUU